GGGGGGGGGGGGGGGGGGGGGGGGGGGGGGGGGGGGGGGGGGGGGGGGGGGGGGGGGGGGGGGGGCCAGGAUCGGUUCUGUGCCGGGAUCGGUUCUGUCCAGGAUCGGUUCUGUUCCAGGAUCGGUUCUGUCCAGGUUCGGUUCUGUCCCAGGUUCGGUUCUGUCCAGGUUCGGUUCUGUCCAGGAUCGGUUCUGUCCAAGUUCGGUUCUGUCCAGGAUCGGUUCUGUCCAGGUUCGGUUCUGUCCCAGGUUCGGUUCUGUCCAGGUUCGGUUCUGUCCAGGAUCGGUUCUGUCCAAGUUCGGUUCUGUCCAGGAUCGGUUCUGUCCAGGUUCGGUUCUGUCCCAGGUUCGGUUCUGUCCAGGUUCGGUUCUGUCCAGGAUCGGUUCUGUCCAAGUUCGGUUCUGUCCAGGAUCGGUUCUGUCCAGGUUCGGUUCUGUCCCAGGUUCGGUUCUGUCCAGGUUCGGUUCUGUCCAGGAUCGGUUCUGUCCAAGUUCGGUUCUGUCCAGGAUCGGUUCUGUCCAGGAUCGGUUCUGUCCCAGGUUCUGUUCUGUCCAGGAUCGGUUCUGUCCAGGAUCGGUUCUGUGCCGGGAUCGGUUCUGUCCAGGAUCGGUUCUGUCCCAGGUUCGGUUCUGUCCAGGUUGGACAGUGGGGAACCCGCGGGGGUGCCCGGCUCUGUCCUUGUCAUCGGUACCGCCCUCUGGCCCGGGAUCGGUUCUGUCCCAGGUUCGGUUCUGUGCCGGGAUCGGCUCUGUCCCAGGAUCGGUUCUGUCCAGGUUCGGUUCUGUCCCAGGUUCGGUUCUGUCCAGGUUCGGUUCUGUCCAGGAUCGGUUCUGUCCAAGUUCGGUUCUGUCCAGGAUCGGUUCUGUCCAGGAUCGGUUCUGUCCCAGGAUCGGUUCUGUCCAGGUUCUGGUUCUGUCCAGGAUUCCCGGGAAAUUCGGAGGUUUUGGGAAGGGGAGGAAGGCUGGCUCCUGGUGGAAUUCUUGGAAAGCCGAAUCCUGCUGGAAAUCCGACCUUGGGCGGGAAUUCCCUGGGGGCUGGGUCAGUUUUAUUCCCCGAGCAGGACAGGGGGUGCGGGGAUGGAUUCCUUCGGGAAAAGUGGGAUUUCAUCACCUCGGGGUUUUUCCCAGCUUUUGUGGUCCUGUGGUUCUCAGGCUCCUCCUCAAUCCCAAAGGAGAUCCCGGUUCCUGAGCCAGUGGGAGCGAAAAUAAAAAAGUGAUGGAUCCCUCCAAAAGCUCUCCCUGGCAUCCAGGGGUCGGAAUUGGGAUGGGAAUCGGGAUCGGGAUCGGGAUCGGGAUCGGGAUCCAGGGGUCGGGAUCGGGAUCG
RNAcentral lists this long non-coding RNA (1324 nucleotides) under Ficedula albicollis (Collared flycatcher). RNAcentral describes it as "lncRNA (ENSFALG00000022879.1)". Lineage: Eukaryota; Metazoa; Chordata; Aves; Passeriformes; Muscicapidae. The record is from RNAcentral.